Long non-coding RNA from Motacilla alba alba, 5552 nucleotides. RefSeq lists it as uncharacterized. The transcript is spliced from 3 exons. Lineage: Eukaryota; Metazoa; Chordata; Aves; Passeriformes; Motacillidae. The record is from RefSeq and is a predicted model, not a curated record.
ACCACCCGUAGUAAACGUGCACGGGCACAUCAUCCAGGCAGCUCUCACUCCUCUCCAGGAGGAUGUACUUCUCAAAGUCAGCUGCAAACUCCUUCCACAUCACAAAGAGAAACACGAGCAGGAGAAACAAACCUCCUGGGAAGAGAGACAAAACUGAGUUACUGUCUGCACAGGGAAUGCAGGAAUAAAGGUUCCUGUGGAAGCUGAGGCCACUGGCUGUGGGAAACCCCACACCACAGGGUCCAGUUCCUGCCUCUGACACCUCCUGCCUUGACCACCAGCACUUCUGAAGGCUCUGCUUCAGCAGGAUAAGGCCACGGAGAAACCACAGGAGCAGGACUGAUGCUCCCAGCAGGGACCUGCCUUCCUCUCUCCAAGGUGAGAUGUUUCACCUUUUUCACUUUCAGUUUCUCAGAGAUUAAUGAGGAGAGUCCAAAACUUACUUUUUCCUUUUUUUAACUACCCUUGCAAGCAGUGUCAUAACCAAUCCCCACCAGGAACACAAAGAUGCCAUGAUAAAUCCUGGUGCUGGUGGAAAAAUUCUGGCACUGCCACCCCCAGAGCCAGCAGAUUAUGGUGUGGGAAAGGCACACAGCCAUGAGAUAUUAAUUUUAGGUGGGCAACUAAAUACCAGAAUAAUAACAAGAAUUAUUACAGCAGCUUAUGCCACGAAGCUGAAAGCAGAUGAAAAAAAUUAGAGUGGCCCAAAUCUCGUUUACUGUGUAUCUUUUAAAAAAUAGAUAUUUCUAUGGUGCAUUUUAAACUCAACAUCUAUUAAAGCUAAAUAGUGACGGUGUGAUGACAGGUCUGAAAGCAGUUCCUGCUACUUCACAGGUAGAAGCUGCUAUUUUUAAAUGGUGCUGUAUAACAUAUAGAUAUACACACACACACAUAUGAAAGAAAUACAUCACAGCUUAUAUUAUUUUUAUGGUUGAAGCGAACUGCUCGAAAUUAAUUCAGUUGACAAAUUACCACACAGUUCUGUGGAUGUGUUGUGGCUUCUGCAAGAUUUAAUUUCUCCCCUUGCCAUUUUUAAAUCAAAGGUAGUUGUGGUGUAUUUAAUUACUCUUCCUGGCAGCUUCUGCACUCCAAAAUCCAGCUCUUGUGCUAAGGAAAGGAAAGGGGUAAAGAUUGACGUUGAUUUAUCUGCUUAGGGAGGUUACUGAAUCUUCAGUCAGAGAAAACACGACUGUGUUUUACUGUGAUUCUGUUUAUAAUGGUUAUAAAAACAUCUCAGAGACAAAAAUAAGACUCACAUGAAGGUAAGAGGCUUCAAAGUCCUCUCUAGGAGGGAGACAGAAGUUGCAGUUCCCCACCCUAAGCUGUCACAUUUACUAAACUGCCUCCCAUGCCCUAAAAAGAUGCAAUCUUACCAAUCAAAAAUUGGUGUAGCCAUACAAAUAUUCUUUACAUCACCCCACACUGAAAUUCCAGCCAUUCUCCCUGACGUGGGAGUCCUUGUUUUUCCUGGAGAGGCAGGCAAGGAGUUAAACAGCAGCUGCUGGAACAUUUGCAUGUUCAUUGAGGUUUUGAUACCACUUGAAAUUAAGUGCACAAAUAAAUAUUUUACACUUACCAUGAUAGUUGUAUGCUUAAAAUACCAAUUAUUCUACUAUAAGAAAGAGAUGGUGUGUUCAAAUAGUCGCAUGUCCUUUACAAAAUACAAUGUAUUGAUAAGAAGGCAAUUAAGUCUUUAUUACUGAUGUAAUUUAAAAUUAAAUUAAUUAGAUAGCAACUGAACCUUGAAAAGUGCUCCUUUAAAGAUCAAUUUCUAUUUCAUUAACUUAUAAUACCUACCGUAAGAGACGCAAAUGAAAGCGCAGCCCCGGUGGGACAGAGAACGUGGGUAUGGAAAUGUACUUUGGAAUUUUGCUUUAAAUAACCAGGAAUUCUGUGUUGAUUUCUCCCAGGACAAUUUACAUGGCCUAAGUCUUGUUUUUUGAAGUAAUCAGAUCAAAACCUUCCAGUUCUAACAGAGGAGGGUGUGGGAGGUCCCAUGAGUGGGUGGCACCAUCCCCAACCUCUUCAGCAGAUAAGGAAUGGGAAUUGGUCCCUCCUCUGGCCUCAGGAGAGGCUCCAGGUCUUGGCAUGGAAGGAUUUAUUAUUAAACAGGUACUGGAGGUGAUGGCAUGGCCAUGGCAUCUAAAUUAAGAAUGUUUUCACACUCUGGGCAAAUGACAAGAAUAUGUAAAGCAAGCAGCCUUCUUCCCUGGAAUAAUUACAGCUGAGUGAUGAAGAAUCCCUGGGAUUUACACGAUGUCCUCGGUGGGAAGAGAAAAUCAGAAGGGCAGGUGCAGCCAAAGGAUGGUGGGAGCUCAGGAAGGGCAGCUCACCAAAAUCUGCUCAGCCAGAAAUGCUUGUUUGGAGCAAUCACAAGGGUACCUGAACCUGCCUAAAAUUUGUCACACUUACAGCCAUCAGCAGCCUCUUCAUCAUGAGAAAAUCAGGAUGUUUGACCCCUAUAUUACCAAAGUGUUUGGCAUUUUUGUUUUAAAGUCCUGUUGUAUUUGGGAUUUUUCAUCUGUUGAACAGGUUUCACUUUACUCCUUCCUUUCUGGGGCGUUUAGUGUUUUACACAGCAGAAAUUAUCUUUGGUUCCUGUCAGCUUUGGAUGUAGAGACAGAGAUUCCUUCCUGCUUUGGGCAGCAAAAUGAAAAACUGAAAAAAUGUAAUUUUCGGUCCAAAACAUGACACUGGCAUUGGCACCCACACCCAAGACACAGGGUUUGUAUUGGGUUUGGGUAAGUGAAGACAUCAUCAAACCUCAUCCCCUGCUCCUCUCAGCAUCUCUGUGCUUUCUCCACCAGAAAAUUACCCAAGUCAUUCCUUUUUUUGCCUCCUUCUCCCUCUUUGCCUCUGUUCAUUAGGAUGGUACUGGGAAAAAUUAACUGCGAAACUCCAUCUCCAGACUGAUGAGGUCAACGGCAUCUUCUGGGGAGGGGCUAAUUGCCAGAAAAUUGCAGUGGGGUAUUAAAUCUGUCUCCUUUGUGCACUGCAGAUCUGGGAGCCUGGAGCUCCAUCCCCCUCUCCCAGCGGAGCUGUGUCUUCGCGUGGGCAAAUUGAAGAGGAGCUUUUCCUUUCUCUCACUUUAUUUCCUUGUGACACCUUUAUAGCUGCUAAUUGUGGGGACAGGAUGUUAAUAACAGCGAAAUGGAGGGGUGACCUUCAGCUGCCCUUCCAUAACUGUCAGCCUUCACUGCACGUGGGGAGCCUGAGACUGCCAAAGUGGAGCUGCUCCAUCUGGGAAGCAGAAUCUGAGCAAAAAAUCCAGCACUUUAACUCACAGGAGUGGGUAAUCAGCCCUUUUUUCCCAUGCUGUUGGGUCAUGCUGAAGAAUGGGUUGGUCCCACCAUGGGCAGGGAUGUGUCCCAUCAUCCCAGUUCGCUCCAAGCCCCAUCCAACCUGGCCUGGAACACUUCUAGGGAUGGGGCCUUCACAGCCUCUUUGGGCAACCUGUGCCAGUGCUGCACGUCUAAGUUUGGUCUCUAAAAUGCCCAAAGGAAAAGAAAACCGAGGAGCACAAGGUAGGAAAAAAUGAAGGACCAAAAUGAAGAAAAGUUGUCUCAGCAACUCAAAGAGCUUCCAGAAGCUGCAGCAUGGAGCUAACCCAGCCCUCUUGGUGACAUUGUAGUGACAACUAACCAACCUCUGACUACUGAAACAAAGGGAUAAUCAGGCACCGGGCAGGAUCUGCCACCCCUUGGAAGCACUGAAGCUCAUUCCAAGAUGGCAAAUGCUGGGAGGAAAGCAGCACACUGGCUCAUGUAUUCCAGGUGCUUUUGGGAGAAGGCUGGCAGGGGAAACUGCUCAGAAAAUGGCCUCAGCUGCAAAGGCAGCACCAGCAAAUGUCAGAUUGGCUUUGGCUCUUUCCAGAGUCACCCAGGGGAGGAAAUCCAGAGAAAUGGUUCCACUGCUUUGGAAGGGCUCUCAGAAACACCUCCCUGAGCAGUCCAUUGGUUAUUGGAGCUGGCACAGUCAGAUUUGCCCUCUGGAAUGUACAGUAAAUAAAAGGCAUGUCAGGGGGAAAUCCAAAGGGAUCCAGCGCUAUAUUGAGCCAUAACAAUCUUCAUCCUUUGGUGCUGGAUUCCCCCAGAGACAGAUGGACACACAGCCCUCCUCAGGCUCGUCAUCCAUAAAUGUCUGGGAAUGCAUUUGCACCAGUGGUGUCUGUCUUGAGAGCCUUUUGGUGGAAAAAGUGAUGUCAUUGUGCAGUGAAUAACCACGCCUCCUCCCAAAAGUAGGGAGGUGGUGGGCAGAAUAAAGCUGCUGGUGAAGGGUUCCCUGCAAGGCUGGGACAUCCCACAGUCCUGGUGCUCCACCUCCCAUUCCCAAGGCCAGACCACAUUCCCACUCCGCAGAUUGCCAGCUUUUUCACACUUCCUCAAGGAGAGAUCCUUUCUGCAAGGGAGGUUAAUUAACACUGACCCGCAGGCCAUGAUUAGAAGACAAGAGGCGCUUUCUCCUGCAUCGUCCCUGCACAUCCCGCUAUCCGAAGGAAAGGGAUGGCUGGGGACUUGAGCCUGUGUUAAAUCCAUUGUUCCUACUGCUUAGUGCAAUUAUGCAAAAUAUUUUUAGAAGGGAUAACGAGAAAAUAACCAUGGAGGGAUGCAACCCAAAUCCAUCCAGAAGCCAGGGCCAAGCAGGAUCCAGAGGUCUGAGAUCAGGAUAAGCCCCCGAAUGAAAGGAUCAGUUGAAACACUAAGGAAACUUUGCUGAAAACCACAUUGAAUCCUUCUGCUAUCAUUUGAGUGGAAAAUAUAGCAGGAAGUGUCUUCCAGCUGAACUUGUUCCCCCGAAUGACUGUUAAUAACAAUGAUUGCUGUUCAGAUUGAAGCUGCAUUAAUACAAACUUCAAUUUUAACAGCAGCAUCUUUGUCUAAUGCCAAGAGGUUUAUGUGAUGCAUAAUCAGCUCUUCCAAAAAGUGUCACAUUCGAAGCCCCAGCCUUUUAAUCAAGGAGUAGUCAAAUAAAGUGGAAAAGCAAUGAAGAAAAAGAAGAAAAAAAAAAAAAGGAAGACAGUUGAGUAUUACUCGGCAUCCUUUUCUGUGAUAUUUCUGCCCAAUGUGCAGGCUGGACACACUCCUCAGGGACAUCUGCUGCCUCCCGGGAGCCUGGACUACAGAUGGGAAGGGAAAGCUUCCUGCCCUGUACAGCCCUUGGAUUAUCAUUAUCCAUUAUGGCAUCACAACAACCCCAUGGAAAACUACAGGCUUGGGAAUCUGUUUGUGGAAAGGGCCCUGGGGGUGCUGGUGCCAGCAGCUGGACAUGAGCCCAGGGGUUCCCAGCUGGGCAAGAGGCCAGUGGCACCUGGCUUGGGUCAGGAAUGGUGUCCAGGGGAUCAGGGCAGAGCUGUCCCCUGUGCUGGCACUGCUGGGGCACCUCCAGUGCUGGGGGCAGCUCGGGGACCCUCCUGGCCAGAGGGACAUUGGGGGGCUGGAGUGAGUCCAGGGAAGGGCACGGAGCUGGGAAGGGGCUGGAGCACCAGGAGGGGCUGAGGGAGCUGGGAAGGGGCUCAGCCUGGAGAAAAGGAGGCUCAGGGGGGACCUUGUGGC